RNAcentral lists this ribosomal RNA (253 nucleotides) under uncultured bacterium. Its description in RNAcentral is "partial 16S ribosomal RNA". It matches the Rfam family "Bacterial small subunit ribosomal RNA", at positions 524 to 776 of the family's 1533-position model. The record is from RNAcentral.
UACGAAGGGGGCGAGCGUUGUUCGGAAUCACUGGGCUUAAAGCGUACGUAGGCGGACAUGCAAGUCAGGAGUGAAAGCCCUGGGCUCAACCUAGGAAUUGCUUCUGAAACUGCACGUCUGGAAUCCGGUAGAGGUUGAUGGAAUGUCCAGUGUAGAGGUGAAAUUCGCAGAUAUUGGACGGAACACCAGUGGCGAAGGCGAUCAACUGGGCCGGUAUUGACGCUGAGGUACGAAAGCGUGGGGAUCAAACAGG